This is a long non-coding RNA of Salvelinus fontinalis (brook trout), 2663 nucleotides long. RefSeq lists it as uncharacterized. NCBI's taxonomy places the organism in Eukaryota, Metazoa, Chordata, Actinopteri, Salmoniformes, Salmonidae. The transcript is spliced from 2 exons. The record is from RefSeq and is a predicted model, not a curated record.
AAUGGCGACAAUCACGUUGUUCGAUGUGGGUCUUGCUGCGUCAUUAAAACUAUUCACGUAAACACGGGAAUGAAACGCGCAAAAUGCAAAACCAGCAAAACGAGUUGUUUACAUGAAGCGGAGGGAGAAGGAGAUAGGGAGGAGCCUCCUCCGGCGGGCUACGCGACUGGACUGCUGGAGAGCCUUCGCGCGCUGAGGGUGGAGCCCCAAGAACCAUAACAAGUCCGACGUCAGCUAUUUGGUGUCCAUAAAUUAUGCAGUUCAAACAAUACUAAGUAAACAGUGGUGACUUCGACCAAUUAACAAGGUUUUAUUAUUUUGGGCUACAUGUAUCUGUUGUAUAGAAAAUGAUCUUUCAAAGAGGUUUACAAAAAGCUGAUAUGCUCCAUUAGUUACACUUGUAUUGGUAGGUAUUACAUUCAUAUGAGGUGAGAAAGAAACAUCUUACUAAUGGUAGUAAAAUUCCUUUCUAGAAUUCUGUAAUGCCUGUGUUGAAUUCAUAGCACAUACACAAUUCAUUAUUAUAUCCUGUGAAUAAUUACAAAGCUUUGCAGGUUUUGGUAACCUAUUAGAGAAACCUAUUUACAUUACUUCUGCAUACAAUUGUGUUCUCAUUCUUGUAAUGUGAUACCAUGAAAUACAUAAAUACAGACAUGAUAUUUGGAUUUUACGUAUUGCCUAUGCAUGAAGUAAAUGCACUUUCUGCAAUGUCCAAAGGCACCCCCACCUUCCUGACCCUAUACAGUGUCAUGUCAUUCUAAGUCCCUUUUUUGGCACGAUUCCAUCUGCAAAAGAACAGUGUGACUGACAAGAUAUUAUUGUUGCUCUGGGCUCCAAGUCAUGUGUGUGUGUGUGUCUGUGUGCGCGCGUGCGAGCGUCGUAUCAUGUGUGAGCCUGGCAUCAUGAAGACGGAUGUCAUCUGACCCCUUGGACCACCAUGGCUGAUGUUGUGCGGUGCUGGAACCCAGACUGACGGGGCUGCUGUCUCUUGGCUCCUUAACAUGACAUCCAGGCUGCCCUGGUUCAGUUAUCACUGUGCUGAUGCUGUCCAUCUUAAAGGUACAGUACUGUGAUAACUGAAGGAUGGCUGCCACCUUGACACACCCGACCCACUUUGUGAUGAUGGAUGGAGGGAGAUGGUACUGCUGUGCGGUUUGUCAUUGGUAGCACUGGUGCUCCCAACUUUAAGAAGUUAGGAGAACAACAUCACAUUUAGGAGCACCAGAAAAUACGAAUUUUCAACUUGAUUGAGAUAUAACCUAUAUUGGGUCUACAUGAAUUCUAGCUACUUGAAGCACAUGCUAUGCUCUAUAAACGAAUAUUUAACCCUGUAAAGACAGUUGUUUAUUAUAAAAAGCUAUAAAUGGUUAUACAAAUACCUGUUAUUGAAAUUACAAAGUUAUUUGUAGAAUAAUAGAUUUCUACAUUGUGUAAAAGCACUAUUUUCACAUCAGCAUACUGCAGUGCAAUAUCACAUGCACCCCUGCCAAUAAAGACUAGGGUGGGUCAAUUUGUUUUGUAAAUUCUUAAAUUGAAAUAAAAAAUAAAGUUGGUUCGGGGAGUAUUCUAAGGGUGAUUAUUAGGAUGCAUAAACAUGAUUAGUGCUUUCCCCCCACAAUUCUGGCCUUCAAAUUGGCAUAAAUAAGGAGGAUAGCUUAGCGGGCGGCAGGUAGCGCAUCUGUUAAGGCUGUUGGGCCAGUAACCGAAAGGUCACUAGUUCAAAUUCCUGAGCUGACUAGGUGAAAAAUCUGUAGAUGUCUCCUUGAAAAAGGCACUUAAACCAAGUUGCUCUUGGCAAAGAGUGUCUGCUAAAUGAUAGGUUACUACUGUUGGCCAGAGUCUGGAAUAUUCUGAUUGGAGAGAGAAAGAGGCUUGGUUGAAACCUACUGCCUUUAAUAGAAACAGCUCUUCUCUAAUUCUCUAGACUACUAGAUAUUUAAGGUUCAUAAUAUAAACGUUCUCCAUUUGAAAAAAUAUUAUUUUCCAUAUCAUUCUUAUUCGUGCUUAUAUUUGAAUGUACUAUUUUAUUUGUUCCAAGUUAGCUCACAGAUUUGAGGGUUUGUUAAUUAAGAUGAGUGAGGAGAUAUUGUGCGUAUCCACGUUCUCCCUACUACAAGCCUUGCUCAACUUGUCACAAACCGCCGUCACAAACCACCGCCUCUAAAGCCCGGGACAAACCAAAAGAGUCAUUGGCGGCGGUGUGCCAAUCAUAACAUGAGAAUUCUUUACCCACCUGUCCCCCGGGGUAGUUACGCGCCUGACCAUUACACUACCGAAUCUAAGUUCGUCUUUUUCUCUGGUCCACUCCGAAACAGCAUUACAGCGAAGGAUAAUUACAACAACAAUUAUUAUCUGGGUGAUUUUUUACAAGGCAAACAUUUUUUUUUUUUAAAUCAAGGUUGCACAACAAAAUAUUUAGGAUCAUAUGCAACCAUAUGUCUCACAUUACAAUGUUGUGUCUGAUUUUCAAUUGUAAUACUUUAUGAUUCACAUUGUCCAAUGAGUGUAGCCUGUGUUUUUCCCAUUUUAUUUGAAUAGAACUGUUAUUUUAUGUAGAAAGAGUUAUGUAUUACGUAAUAAGUUGAAGGGGAACAAACGUAUGUUUGUAGCAUUUGAAUCAUUCAUGUUUUUAAGAAAAUGCAAAUAAAUCGGAAAGAAACUGA